Saccostrea cuccullata (small rock oyster) is the source of this 1918-nucleotide long non-coding RNA. RefSeq lists it as uncharacterized. The record is from RefSeq and is a predicted model, not a curated record. NCBI's taxonomy places the organism in Eukaryota, Metazoa, Mollusca, Bivalvia, Ostreida, Ostreidae. The transcript is spliced from 4 exons.
CGCUGUUAAGUGUAGCGUAACAUCCGAGUGGUCGAUUUGACCUCUAACGAGACCAGCCUCGAGACCGUGCGAGAUCUGCACCAGUUCCUGUAAGAUUUUGACAGGAAGUAGAUGUGUGUUUUGGGAUUUAUGCAUUUAAUGUCUCUUCACGUCAAUAUUCUGAUGUUGUCCGCCAGUCGCCCAUCAUACCCCUAAUAUAUUAAAACACAGUAGUGGUACAGAGAUUUGGACAAUCUAUCAUCUACAGGCCUAGGAUCUGGAUGAUGUCAUGAUCACAAACAAGUGUUUUUGACAAAGAAGGUUUAAAACCUUUGUGGACGUGGGUUUUGAAACUUCUUAAAACUCUGGAAGGAUGAGGAAAAGGAAUUUAAACCAUUGAAAUGGAACAUGUUGCACAAGGUUAUCAUGAUCAUCCAUUUAUAAAAGAUGACAGCAUAUCAGCACUGCCUUAAGAUUGGAGUUGAGACCUUGUAUUUUUUACACAGAAAAUAAAGAACAGUUGCUGAAUGAAACAGAUACUCACAGAAGCAAAUAUAAUGAGCCCAAAAUAAUGGUGAUCAAGUUUGAAUGAUUUUAUUCUCUGGUUGAAAUGUUAUUGAAAUGAUACUACUGAUCCAAUUUUAGAAGUGGUUGACAAUGAAUACUAAGUAUUUUGUUGUAUAUAAGUAAUAAUGGCUUAUUUUAAAACUGUAUAAAGCUUGCAAUGUUUAUAUCAAAUGUAAUGAUAUUGUGUAGGAAUCACUUUUUUUUAAGGAUAAAAGAUGUAAUUUUUUUUUCAAUCAGAAUUUCCUAAAAAGACUUUCUAAUGUAAAUACAUGUAUAAAUAAAAGAAGUUUAUAACCCUUUCUUUUACUGUCAUUGAAAUACUGUAACCAUGGUAACAAUGAACUGGAAUUUUACACAAAAAAUAUUUUAACAUGAAAAUUUCAAAUUUCAAGGUUUUAUGAAGUUUGAAUUGCGGCUUAUAUUGCUUUUUAUUGAACUAUUUCCCUUAUCCUUAGAUUUGUUGUGCAUUCUAUGUAAUAAAUUUAAUUUUGGAACAUGGGAAAGGUCUUGUUUUGAACUCUGCUGAUUUUAACUCAAGCAGAGUAAAUGUAUUUAAUACAUGUACAUCUAUAUAUCACAAAUGAAAUGGCUAUUUUAAAAAAUAUAUACAUGUACAUGUAUAUCUGUAAAAAUAAUCAAUCUUCCCAAAGAGUUUUUUCCCUUGUUCACAAUGUAAAAAAAAAAAUCUGAAUGAUAUAUGCAUGACUGUUUUACAAAAAGCAAAGAGAUAAAUUUAUUUUAUGUUUUAGAAAUGUCCUCAUUGUGUCCAGUAUCUGCUUUUCUAACAAGUAUUAAUGAUGUUGAAAUAAACUGUGCUAAUAUUAAAAAGUAAUUUUAUAUCAUGACAUGAUUAUAUAUUGAACCCUGUUCAUUGGAGCUGUGGCCAGAAGUGUUUGGCUAAUACAGCUAGGGGUUCAAAAUAUUUCACAGAGUGCGAUUAAAAUACAGAAAUAUAUUUAUUAUCGUAAAACAUAUACUUAGAAAACAUCUUGUUGGAUCUUUUUUCAAGUAUGAUCUCAGUGAAAAGGAACUGGAUCUGGUUGUAUCAAUAUAAACUGUUGAUACAACCCGGUCCUGGGUGUAAAAAGAGCUUACAUGUACAUGUAUAUAUUCUAGAUAUUUAUUUAAAUGCUUUUGGGUCUAUGAAAAAGGCACAAUAUGAAGAAAUGUGAACAUUUUUAGCCAAACUUGACAUUGGGGACAGGGAUAUACUAAGUAUGUGUAAGAUCAUGAUCAAGUGACACCUACAUGUAAUAGUCAGCUAGAUUGAAAAGGGUUAUGUUUUGAAGUUUGCUAAAUCAUUCUAGGUAUGACUAGGAAAUUAGAUUUGUGUGUGUGUGUUUUCAUACAUGUCCCCCCCCCCCCCAUUUUU